UUUUCCUACGGGGCGCAGCAGCCGCGGUAAUACGUAGGUGGCAAGCGUUAUCCGGAUUUAUUGGGCGUAAAGGGAACGCAGGCGGUCUUUUAAGUCUGAUGUGAAAGCCUUCGGCUUAACCGGAGUAGUGCAUUGGAAACUGGGAGACUUGAGUGCAGAAGAGGAGAGUGGAACUCCAUGUGUAGCGGUGAAAUGCGUAGAUAUAUGGAAGAACACCAGUGGCGAAAGCGGCUCUCUGGUCUGUAACUGACGCUGAGGUUCGAAAGCGUGGGUAGCAAACAGGAUUAGAAACCCGUGUAGUCUUA
Molecule: ribosomal RNA, 305 nt
Filed under: uncultured bacterium
Lineage: Bacteria
Description: bacterial SSU rRNA
Rfam family: Bacterial small subunit ribosomal RNA
Source: RNAcentral